GCAGUCGAGCGGUAACAGAAAUUAGCUUGCUAAUUUGCUGACGAGCGGCGGACGGGUGAGUAAUGCCUGGGAAUAUGCCUUAGUGUGGGGGAUAACUAUUGGAAACGAUAGCUAAUACCGCAUAAUGUCUUCCGACCAAAGAGGGGGAUCUUC
Molecule: ribosomal RNA, 153 nt
Filed under: Aliivibrio sp.
Lineage: Bacteria; Pseudomonadati; Pseudomonadota; Gammaproteobacteria; Vibrionales; Vibrionaceae
Description: partial 16S ribosomal RNA
Rfam family: Bacterial small subunit ribosomal RNA
Source: RNAcentral